Bos taurus (domestic cattle) is the source of this 5496-nucleotide long non-coding RNA. NCBI's taxonomy places the organism in Eukaryota, Metazoa, Chordata, Mammalia, Artiodactyla, Bovidae. The record is from Ensembl.
UUGGGGUUGACAAGAUAUCCUGGUCUGGAGAUCCUGUAGAUAUUCUGGCAAUAAAGAAUCUUCUAUCUUGAGUAUCCAAAGGUUCUAACACAACUUCAUCGUGUCUUGUUUUAUGGAUGAGGAAAUUGAUCACAGCACACACACACACAUACACCAUUACACUGUUUAAAAAUUUUUCAAUAGCUUCUUCUUGGUCCUAGGCUAUAAUCUAAUAUUCUUAUUCUGUGGCCUACAAGACCCUGUCAUUCUUUUUGCCCACGCCCACCCACUUCUCAAAAUGUUUCUUAUGUUCUCUCCCCCUUAUUCACUCUGAACUUUCUUCAUUCAGCUAUUUGAACCUGCUAUUCCUCUUUGUUCAGGGUCUUUGCACAAACUAUUCCUUCUUUCUGGAGGGCUUUCUCCCUCUCCUGGCCAACCUAAUGCCUCUUCAGCCUGGAUAUCUUGCCAUAAACAUCACUUCUCCAGGCAUAAAAGAUAUAUGUGCCACAACCAGGGCGAUCUGGUUCAAUAGCCCUCAGAAAAGAGAAGGGGUGGGUGUCUCUGAAUUGCACCCCAUGAUUCACUGGAAGGGCUUCCCUGGUGGCUCAGAUAGUAAAGAAUCUGCCUGCAGUGCAGAAGACCCAGGUUUAAUCCCUGGGUCAGGAAGAUCCCCUGGAUGAGGAAAUGGUAACCCACUCCAGUACUCUUGCCUGGAGAAUUCCAUGGACAGAGCAGCCUGGCAGGCUACAGUCCAUGGGGUCAAAAAAGAGCUGGACAUGACUGAGUGACUAAAACUUCCACUUUCACAUUCACUGGAAACCUAAGUCAAGUGUUCACUCAGGAGCAUGAGCAGGGACCUGUGGCCACACACCUUCUGGCCUUCUCAGGGUCUUGCUGCCAAAAGCUAGGGCUAGAGAGCCGUGGAGCUUCAGGGCCCCUGUCACAUCCUCCCAUGAGGCUGCAAACGUAGCACUGGGCCUUCGUACUCACAGACACACAGACCUAGGCGAGGGGAGGAGGAAGGACCCUCGGGCGUGCACUUCACUUUCUGUAAUGGAUACUGCUGGGAUGCAGUAGAAUUUUAUUUUAUUAAGGAUACUGCUUUAAAUACAUACUGAUUUUGUGAUUGCUAAAAGAGCACUACAGGAAAUAGUGUUGUAAAGCAAACAAUCACCUAAUGUGUCCUUGUUUAAAACGGACAUUGUAACAAAACUAAGAUAGUACUUCGCUUAGAAAGUUGAAUUUCUUAGAAGUCUAGAGUGUCUAGUUCAGUAGGAUGUUUCUGUGUUAACCACAAAUGUAUGCUUGGUCAGAUUUCUGUGAACCCCAAAUAAGGAAUAAAAAAUGGGGCUUUGUCUCGUUUCUUACAUUUUUAUUUUUCUAGGUGGGUGGUCUAGAAGGGAAAAAGAUGUACCAUAAUUUUACUAAUGUAUUUAAAGUUUGGCUGUGUCAGACUGAUUUCAGUCCUUCAUUUGCAAGUGUAUACUUUCUGAUUCUUUUAUCCAGGCCUACUCUUUACAAACAACUUUACUGAGAUGUACUUUGCCUAUCAUAAAAUUCACUUAUAAAUUUACCAAAAUCUGCAACCACCACCACAGUCUGGAUUGAGCACAUCUCAGUCACCCUAAUAACAUUCCUGGUGACCAUAAGGAGUCAUUUCCCCUUUUCCAUUCCUAGCCUCAGGCAACCACUAAUCUACUUUCUAUCUCUAGAGAUUUGUGGAAAGUAUUAUAUCUUCACACACAUAUAUGUAAUAUAAAUCAAAAAUACAUCUCUUCUUUAACAAAAUCCUACUUAUACACCAAGAUUUUGCUGUUUUCAAUGUUUAAAGUUUUUUUAGUAACAAAUAAAUGAAAGGUUGCAAAGAAACCUCUGAAAAACAGUCCUACAAACAACAUGUUUUUCCACUGUAAAAUACUACUUUAAAGCUUAUGACAACCAACCAACAGACAGCAUUUUUCCAUCAUGCAAUGUUUUCCUCAUUAAAGUCAAAAGUGUCCAUUUUACUCUCUUCCAGUAUUCCUAUCCCCUCAACCCCAAUCAAACUCUUCACAGGUUUAAAAGAGUUUAUAGCACAUAUCCUUAACUUCAUUUGCAGACAAAACCCUGGAGAAAUUUAGUCUCCUCCAAAUUUGGAUCACGAGCUGGAGCAAGCAAAUGAAACUUCCCCAAAUGACAUCCUGUUCCAUAGCUUUUAAGAGCUAUGAUAAAGUUUCUAGACUCUCUUUAAAGAUAUUCUGGAAAUUCAUCAGACUAGUCAUAAAGCCACUAACUUCCUUAGCAACCCGGUAAUAUUGUGAGCUUUCCAAGUUAAUUAUAGAUCUUGUUAUUUUAAGGAACAAUCAUUAAUUGAGAUCUUUUAAUUAAAUUAACAAGAGGUUAUGAAAUAGGUUCUACAAAAUAACCCUUUGCCCCUUUAACAACCAAUGAAAAAAAUUCUUAUCAUGGUAAGUUAAAGAAUUGACCAUUGGUCAACAUGACAAAUGUAUGAAAUUAAGUCAUUUCCCCAUAACUCUCCAGCCCAGCACAAUUGUGAAAGUAGAUAAAUCACAUUUCAUUUGGGCUUGUACCACCCAAUUUACUGCCCUAGAACACAACAGCCUUGUUCAGGCCAAUUCACAGACUUCUGACAGGAGCCUUCACAGGCCCCCAGUUUGCCAGUUUCUGAGUCUAGUACACUGGCUCUCACAAGGGUGCUGACCUGCUUUCUAUUUUCAACUGGAAUUUCCUCCUCUGGGGUGACAGGAUCCCCACCCUCAGUGGCAUUCACCUGGUUUUCUGUUCAGUGCCCCUGUUCUACAGCUUGCCCCUCGCUCUGGAACUGAAGGGAAUUCCAGGCUCGCCUCUUGCAGAGUCCAAUGACAGGAACACUCAUGGACAUUAUGCUUCACGUAUGGUGGGAAUCAGGUUUUGUGAGCAUCCCAAGUUCCUCUUAGGAGACACCAAAGUGAUAUUUACUCAGGAAGUUGCUGGGAUCUAAGACAAGACCUGCAGGAAAUGAUAGCAGGGAGGCCAGGUUGUAGGGCUAAAGCUGUAAAGACAUCUCCAUUCAAAGGGUCACAAGAAUGUGGAAGAGUCAGCCAAAAGAAACAUCCCAAAGCAUAAGAUGGGGCCACAUCCCUUGGCAAAACACAGGCUGCCCUGGAGGACCAACAGCUCUCUCACCGCCCAGCUCUUGUGGCUGCACUCAGCAAGCUAUAUAGAGUUUAAAGAGUUUAAAGAAAAGGGCACUGGUGUUUUUAGGGUCAGCCCUUGGAGGCCCUUUACAUUCCUUGCUCUGAGGGAGUUCUGGACAGAUUAAUGUAAAAAUCGCAAAUGCAAAACAAGAGCCAGCACUUUAAACCAAGGAGUAAAUGACAUUUUUCCGAGUUCAACUCUCCAUUUUGAAGGGGUAAGAAUAGCAAAGUUUGCGAAAAUUUUUCUGCCUAGAAUGUUUACAAAAUAAGGUAUGUGCUUAGUCUCUCAUUCGUGUCCAACUCUUUGUGAUCCUAUGGACUAUAGCCCACCAGGCUCCUCUGUCCAUGGGACUCUCUAGGCAAGAAUACUGGAGUGGGUUGCCAUGCCCUCCUCCAGGGGAUCUCCCGACCCAGAAACUGAACUGGGGUCUCCUGCACUGCAGGCGGAUUCUUUACCAGCUGAGCUACGAGGGAAAAUAUGAGACAAAACAAUUUUUAACUUAAAACUUGCAGAGGAUUUUCUGGUGACUUAGAGAAGGAGACGGAGAAGAUAGAUAGGUUUUAGACACUAUAAGCUAUAUGUGAAUGCAUCUUACUUUUUAAUUAAGAGGAAGUCUGAGAGUAGAAACUAGAUAUUAUCCUUUUUUGAAAUUUUCCUUUAGCACUGGACUCACAUCUGGUUCUCCACACAUUCUAGUGAAUAAAUGAAUGUUCAGUGCUAUUUUGCCCUUAUCUGAACACACUCAAUUUUCUUCUCCAUACGGACCAUAUGUGUCCCCUUUCUUUUGCCCUCUCUCUUAUAUAACAGUGGGCUUUCCUUGUGGCUUCAGACGGUAAAGAAUCUGCCUGCAAUGCAGGAGACUGGGGUUCAAUCCCUGGGUCAGGAAGCUCCCCUAGAGAAGAGAAGGGCUACCCACUCCAGUAUUGUUGCCUGAAGAAUCCAUGGACAGAGGAACCUGGCAGGCUAUAGUCCAUGGGGUCACCAAGAGUUGGACACGGCUGAGUCACUAACACUAACACACUUAUAUAACAGUAGAUCUAUCUACAGCAUCUGUGGUCAUUUGAGACACAGCUUCAGACCAGAAAUCCAAAAACUUUUUGGGUAAAGAGCCAGACAGAAAAUAUUUUAGAGUUUGCAUGCCAUGGAGUCUGUCGCAACUACUCAACUCUGCUGGUGUAACCUGAAAGCAGUCAUAGUUGAUAUGUAAAUGAAAGGGCAUGGCUAUUUUCAUGGACACAAAAUUUUUAUUGCAUAUAAUGUUCACAUGUGAUGAACUAGUCUUCUUUGCAUUUUUUCCCACUAUUUCAAAAUGCAAUACUUAUCUAUUCUUACCUUGCAGGCUGUUAAAAAAAAAAAAAAAAAAAAGCAGGCAGCAGCCCAGAUUUGGUCCAUGGGCCGUAGUUUGCUGGCCUUCAACUUAGACAACUGAGUGACUGUGAUAUGGUGGGUGCUCUACUAGGUAUGACCACCUACAGAGCAAACUGAAAAACAAAAUGGGAUUUGGCAACUGUUCAGUCAGUUGAUUUGCUAGAGGAAGACAGGGCAAAGGUUUUAAAUUCAGAGAGGAAAUUCUGUGUGUGUGCAUUAUUUUUAAUUUAGUUUAUCCAUGUACAUAGCAAAGUUGAUCAAACUCAUCAGCUAAUUUCCAAAUGUUGGCUCUGAUUUGUUUGAACUACGGUAUUUAUAUUUGUUUCUUCUUAUUGUAAAUGACCUCAUCCACAAUCUCAGAAGACGGUUUUAAAAACGGGAGCCAAAUUUAUAAAUCUUUGUAAAGUGACACUAGUAAAUUAAAACGAAUUAAAAAAUCUCCCGGGAGGUGAAUGUUUUCCUUUUAAUAUAUUGAGGAACCAGUGUUGCUAAGCCCAAGGAAACAGAGGAAGACUGUGACGAUUCUGUUUAAAUGUUAAUAGAUUCAGUCUAUUUCUAUAAUAUUCCCUCAAUAUCUAUUCAGUAUGUAUCCAAUCAAUGUGGAUUUGUGGAGACUGGUAUCAGAAGGAUCUUCCCAUUAUCCUGCCUCUCUUGCUUAAUUAGGUCAUAAGGAAAUACAUAUUGAUACAUAACAGAAAGGAAUCAUUGAGCAAAUAGGAAAAAAUUGAGAUAGAUUUGCAUCUUCUUAAACAUGUCAGUAUUUUCAAAAUUUGAUUACAUACUGUGGGAAAGUGAAUGAUUCGCCCUAUUUCUUCACCCCUUACUGUGCUCACACCCCUGCCAUGCCCCAUCAUGGAGGAAGUAUAUUUCCUUACUCAGUGACAUUAGGCUUGGUCAUGACUUGCCUUGGUCAUGGUAGAUGGGUAGAGAUGAGAGUGUGCCUGAGCUCAGCCUGCGCAUUAAGAAUCCUUA